GAUGAACGCUGGCGGCGUGCCUAAUACAUGCAAGUCGAGCGAACAGACGAGGAGCUUGCUCCUCUGACGUUAGCGGCGGACGGGUGAGUAACACGUGGAUAACCUACCUAUAAGACUGGGAUAACUUCGGGAAACCGGAGCUAAUACCGGAUAAUAUAUUGCACCGCAUUGUUCAAUAGUGAAAGACGGUUUUGCUGUCACUUAUAGAUGGAUCCGCGCCGCAUUAGCUAGUUGGUAAGGUAACGGCUUACCAAGGCAACGAUGCGUAGCCGACCUGAGAGGGUGGUCGGCCACACGGGAAGGGAGACAGGGACCAGACUCCUACGGGAGGCAGCAGUAGGGAAUCUUACGCAAUGGGCGAGAGCUUGACGGAGCAACGCCGCGUGAGUGAUGAAGGUCUUCGGAUCGUAAAGCUCUGUUAUUAGGGAAGAACAAAUGUGUAAGUAACUGUGCACGUCUUGACGGUACCUAAUCAGAAAGCCACGGCUAACUACGUG
This 497-nucleotide ribosomal RNA is filed under the name uncultured bacterium. RNAcentral's name for it is "partial 16S ribosomal RNA". It matches the Rfam family "Bacterial small subunit ribosomal RNA", at positions 28 to 507 of the family's 1533-position model. The record is from RNAcentral.